UGAACUGGAUCAGAUUAAUAUAAAUAUAUUAAAAAAAUAUAUAUAGAUAAUUCAUGUAUUUCUAAACAAAUGUGUAUAAAUGUGUAAUCUCAAAAUUGAAUUAAGUUGAAUUGAAUGGGUCGAAAGUAUAGAAAAAAGUUGUGAAUUGAAUAGAAUAUGGAAAUUAUUAUACCCAGCCUUACACGAAUGAUCUGACACGUUUUUAGCAUAUAGUGUUCACACUGGACUGUCACUGCUCGAUACAAAUGUACCAGGAGGAUGGGGCCAAAUAUCGAACCAGUACAAAUCUUGCCAAUCUUCCUCCAGGGAUUUUCUUUUACUGCUCUAUUCGAUUUAUGAAUCAUAGAAUUCCAGCCAGACACAAACCGCAAUUAUUGAUUUCUCCUCCAUGAUCAAUUUUCAAACUUCCAUGAAUCAUAAAUCUCACACUGAAAGUGGUUGCUUGAGCACACAUUUCGGGGGCCGGUGUGAACGUAGCAUAAGGGUCCCUGCUUGCUGAGAAGACACAUGGAAAGCUUCAAACUGGCUUUUACUGCUUUCCAAAUGACCUUCAGGCUCAAGAAAAAAAAAUGUACAGCUGAUUGUGAGGAACAAGUUAUUUAGGACAAACAAAAAAAGAAAAUGGUACAGAAAGUUUCAACCUCUUGCCAAGGCACUCUGGGGCCUUGCACUUGAUUUCACCCUCUGUCACACAUUCUGUUUUUUGGCACAACGUUGCCGUCAAUAAUUUAUUUCUUUCACUCUUUUAAAGAAGAUAAAUGAACAUUCCUGUUGUAUCUUUGGGUGUGCCAGAAGCACCUCGCUCAUAUAUCCAGCGAACUCCAUUCGUCUGCAUCUUUAUUCUAGACACUUUAGCACCGACAUUUUCUCUGAUUCGAUGUAGAGUAGUCGUCUCAUGUACAAAAAGCAAUCGACAAGUAACUUACAGCGAACUAGCAAUGUAAUAGGACUCAUGACACAUAUCAGUGGCGUGUUAUUCAGUGUCUAUCAUAGGUGAGACACAAGUUGAGACAGUUAUGACUCCAUGACAACAUUUUUUGACGUGUGAAGUCGUAGUGGAUUCAUCCCAGUAUUUCUACAGUUGUGUUGUUUCAGAGGAGACGGGUGUGAGAUGAUGAUGAUGCUGGUUUGUGUUCAUCAGCGUGAUCCAUUUAUAGGUAAGUGGCGGUCUGGUCUGAGCAGUAACCCUGAGAGCAAACUGUGAUCUUUGUGGAGCUUCAGCUCCUGGUGGACGAACGGAUGUUGAUGAAAAACAAUGUUUAGAUCACUGCAGCCUGUUCAGGUUCCUCUUUCUAUGAUUGCGUUUUCCUCCAAGUUUUUUAGUUUUUUAGAUCCGUGUUUUUGAUCGAUGAGGCCUUAUGGUGUAAACCUCUUUGCAGACAAUACUGUGUCUUAUGACACAGAAAUCUUUUGAAGAAAAACUAUUGGGACUAUAAUUCCCAAAAGGUUCAUCAUUAAAAAAAAAAAAAGAUAAAAAGUGAAUUGCACUGAAUGAUUAACCGAAGCCCGGUACCUAAACGGCGAAAAAAUGCAAACAGCAGAGUUGGUGCGGCACCACUUUUCACACAAAACUUUUUUCAAACUCACUUUCUUGACACUAGAGCCCCCAAAGUACGGCCGGCGGGCCGGAUCCUGCCCACCUCCACAUUAGCCCCACCCCCUCAAACACUAUCAGAAUCUGGCCGAUUGAGACCCAAAUAGAACGUGACAUUUUAUUCCACCCGUCUGCAGUCUGAAUAUGACAGAAGAGGAUAAACCAUUUAUUGGCUUAAUUGUGAAUUACGUUUUCUUUAUUAUUCUUCUGUACGUUUUGUGGAUGUCCAUAGCUCUUCAGCUCCCUCUUUACAACUGUUUUGUCAGUUACUACGGAUUUCAAGGCUAUUUUGGAAUUUAGCUAAUAUUUUAGCUACAUGCUAGAUUUUUUUUCUAAAUUAGACAUUUUUCUAUUUUUUUAGGCUAAUUUGACAUUUUUGCUCUCCUGAUUAUGCGAGAGCCAGAGGUAAUCCAUGGGUGACAUGACACCUCGCUUUGCCUAUUGUUUCUACAGUCAGUGGUUGGAACGGGACGUAAACCAUUUGGUAUGGGUGACAUCACACUCACUCUGUCCAGUUCUCUUAUACAGUCAAUGGUUUUAAAAUUUAAAUACCACAUGAAUAUUUUGGUAUAGCUUUGAGACACUUAAAAAUAACUCCACAUCUAUUUAAGAAAACAUUUGUUGAGAAAUAUUUAAAUAUGUUGGAAAAGAAUAAAGGCAAACACAAAAAAAAAAAAAAACAGUUUCUUGUUGCUUCACAUAUCUUAUUCACCUGGAACUCCAAUAGCAUGAAUAUUAAGAGCUUAAACUUUAAUAAGGUUAGUAUGUUAGUUUUAUUUAAAUUUUAAUGAAUAUUACAUCUUGAAAAUUGAAGGUAAAUUCUAACUGUGAUGAGUGCAGUCCCUGACAGUCAGAACUGGGUUACUUUUCUUAUUCUUGUCACACCGUGUGAAUGUAGACGGCGGGGAAAUGAAAGCCCUGAUUUCCUGAUUUUCUGUGUGAUUCCAAUUUAGAGAAAUUCGAGAAAUGUUGAGCUUUCUAUUUUUACGAGCCUUAUUUUGCCCAACUACAUAAAAAUAAAUUAAACUGAGGAACAGUUUGUGGGCGGAAACAAGUCAUGAAACAACUUUAAAUUUGAUUCAAAUUCCUGCUGGACAUGUAGCUAUUUUUUUCCCUUUUUUCUAAGAGAAUUUGUUUGGGUUUUACAAAAAAAAAACAAAAACAAUAAAAAAAUAAGCCAAAUUUUACUUCUAGCCUUAAAGAAGAGUGUUUAUUAUUCAUCAGAUUUUUUCUGUUCAGUCCUAAUUCAUGACGUCUUUGCUUUGUGUCUUCACUGAGCUCUUUACUGUGAUAUAUUUGCAGAAUUUUCUCCUUUCCUUUUACUUUUUUAUUGCUUCUGUUGCAAACACUGACUCUGUGUCAUCAUUCAUUUGUUGUGUUCAGUUUUCCUGGUGAAGCUCUGAUGUUUGUCUCGGUCCGUCCGUGUCUCAUUCUCAGUCUCUUUCAUUUUUGUUUGCACACAGCGGUCAGGAAACUUCUUCUCUAUUUCUCCAGAUGUUUAAGAAUUCCCUUUAGUUUGUAAUCUGUUAUAUUAAGGCUGUUUGUUUCAGGAAUACAAAACCAGGUUAAUUUAUUGUAGUUAGAAAUUAAAAUAUUUACUCCAAUUUAGUUUUUAUACAAACAACACAAUAAAUCAUCAGAAUAAAUAAACGACUUUAUUCCUAAUCGUAUCUUUUAAUGUGGAAAUCUUGGAGCAACAAAUCUGUUUGCAGCCGUUUAGGGUUUUACUUGACUUAAUAUAUUUGCAUUUGAAGCACAGAUUUAUAUUUUGUAACUGACAUGUCCCUUUUGAUGUUUUACAGCAAAAUAUUCACUGAUUAAUAUAUCUAAAAACUUGUAAAAUCCAGACUAAUUCCUUGGAUUGACAUCUGACUGAUAGUUGAUAGAUGAUAGUUUACAGUUAAAUUCAAAAGUGUCUUUAUUUAUGAUCAUUUUUCAUUUUCUUUUUUUGCUUAAAGAAUUUCUCCGCAGGUGAGAGGAGAAGCUGAAAAUUGUACUUAAUUAAAGUUAGUGUUAUUUCACAUUUUUCUACUUUGGGGUAAAAGGUUAACAGUAAAAAUAAAAUAAAAAUCUCAAGUGUUAAGUUUUUUUUAAAUUUAAUUAAAAAAGAAUAUAUAUAAAAAUAAUAUAAAAUGAAAUGAAAACAGUUACUAAAGGAAAGGGAGCUGAAAGAGUACAAAUAAACAUUAUCGGUCGCCAUCACUAAAUCAACAAAAGAAAAUCAAACAAAGAAAAUGAUCUUGACAUAAAUAUUAAGUCCAGCCAACAUUUUAAAUGAACAUAUAAACUUACACAUAAACGGUAUCUACACAAACCCUCAUUUAUUCUUAUUUACCUACACAGGGUUCAGUGGAAUUAACUACUUAAAGUCGUAUUAAAGCAUUUUUCUACAUUUUAUCUUUAACAGGGGUUUGAAACUCGAGCACAAGAGGGCCAACAUCUAAAACACAGAUUAGGUCGCAGGCCAAACAGGAUAAACAUUUAUUUAACGCUCUAAAACUAAGUUUUUAAAACUUUAAAAACAUAACUUUUAACAUUGCUAUGAAUAAAAACUGGCAGGAAUAUUAUUCCAGAAUAAAUAAACUUAAAGCUUAAAAAUCGUUCUGUAUUUUACUAUCCAUAAUAAUAUAUUUUGUCAAAAUUAUACAAGUUAGAAAUAAGUGCAAGAUAACAUCGGACCGUUCAUAACAAUAAAAUAAAAUUCAAUUCAGUUCAAUUUUAUUUAUAAAGCCCAAAAUCACAAAGGAAAUUUGCCUCAUUGGGCUUCAUGCAGGUAGUUUGAAAGAUACAGAAAAUUAGUCAUAAAAUAUGAACAAUAGUUAAAAACUAAACAGACUAAAUAAAAGGUUAUCCCUGCCCUCAGACCCUCUCUCCCGGUAAGGAAAAACUCCAAAAAAACGAUGAAAACAAAACACAAAAAAUGAUCUGGAGGGCCGGAUUCGGCCCCCGGGCCGUGACUUUGACACAUGCUCUCUAAUAUUUACGUCUCACUUUUAAAGGCAGCAAUUGUUUUUGUAUUUUGAGUUUAAACAUUUUUGACUCAAAAAUAAAUUUCUUCCAACCCCUUCCACCCAUUUUUAGUGAAAUAAAAUAUGAAUAAAAUGUAAACUAUAAACAUUAGAAUAAAAUCAAACAAAACAUCAAACCUAACUUCAGUAUAAAUUGAAGUGAAUUAUGUUGCUGCUUCAUAAAAACUCCUCUUUAACAGGUGGACUUGUUUAUUUAUUUGAUGCUUUUCAGGUCAAUUUAACAGUUUAAGGUUCCAAGACUUCUGAGCAGUGAAGUGACCCCAAUGAUGAAACUAGUGAUUGUGUUCUUCUAACAUUAAUAACCAGCUGCUGUUUACUUCAUGAAUAACAUUCAAUGUUAAUGAUAAAGAAAAGUGUCAGGAAUAGGUGGUGAGGACCCAAACGCAGGAGACCGGGCGUGGAGGCAAAAACGUAAAAUAUUGGGUUAACUGAAACAUGACACACAAAAAAAAAAAAAAACAUGGAGAAAAAAACCAGUGACAGAGCAAAA
This is a long non-coding RNA of Oryzias melastigma (Indian medaka), 5113 nucleotides long. RefSeq lists it as uncharacterized. The transcript is spliced from 2 exons. NCBI's taxonomy places the organism in Eukaryota, Metazoa, Chordata, Actinopteri, Beloniformes, Adrianichthyidae. The record is from RefSeq and is a predicted model, not a curated record.